This 265-nucleotide unclassified non-coding RNA is filed under the name Hevea brasiliensis (rubber tree). The record is from RNAcentral. Lineage: Eukaryota; Viridiplantae; Streptophyta; Magnoliopsida; Malpighiales; Euphorbiaceae.
GCUACACUUUCUGAACUUUCUACUGCACCUGAAUUACUGGAAAGCACGGGAGGUCUGACUGAUAACAGGCAUUUUACCUGUGAAGCCUCAAUCAUUCAAAGAAUCAAGCUUGUUGCUGAAAGUCUAGCAAGACACAUUUACAGCCAGGAGAAGAAAAGCAUAAGCAUAUUUGCAGACGAUAGUAGCCUAGCUGUCAAUCCUUCCUACAUAAGGUCUUGGCUAGAUCUCUUAUCCACAACACCUCGAGUGGCACCUUUUCUUUCAA